GGGACACGUGGUAUCCUGUCUGAAUAUGGGGGGACCAUCCUCCAAGGCUAAAUACUCCUGACUGACCGAUAGUGAACCAGUACCGUGAGGGAAAGGCGAAAAGAACCCCGGCGAGGGGAGUGAAAAAGAACCUGAAACCGUGUACGUACAAGCAGUGGGAGCCUCUUAAUGGGGUGACUGCGUACCUUUUGUAUAAUGGGUCAGCGACUUAUAUUCUGUAGCAAGGUUAACCGAAUAGGGGAGCCGAAGGGAAACCGAGUCUUAACUGGGCGUUAAGUUGCAGGGUAUAGACCCGAAACCCGGUGAUCUAGCCAUGGGCAGGUUGAAGGUUGGGUAACACUAACUGGAGGACCGAACCGACUAAUGUUGAAAAAUUAGCGGAUGACUUGUGGCUGGGGGUGAAAGGCCAAUCAAACCGGGAGAUAGCUGGUUCUCCCCGAAAGCUAUUUAGGUAGCGCCUCGUGAAUUCAUCUCCGGGGGUAGAGCACUGUUUCGGCAAGGGGGUCAUCCCGACUUACCAACCCGAUGCAAACUGCGAAUACCGGAGAAUGUUAUCACGGGAGACACACGGCGGGUGCUAACGUCCGUCGUGAAGAGGGAAACAACCCAGACCGCCAGCUAAGGUCCCAAAGUCAUGGUUAAGUGGGAAACGAUGUGGGAAGGCCCAGACAGCCAGGAUGUUGGCUUAGAAGCAGCCAUCAUUUAAAGAAAGCGUAAUAGCUCACUGGUCGAGUCGGCCUGCGCGGAAGAUGUAACGGGGCUAAACCAUGCACCGAAGCUGCGGCAGCGACACUAUGUGUUGUUGGGUAGGGGAGCGUUCUGUAAGCCUGUGAAGGUGUGCUGUGAGGCAUGCUGGAGGUAUCAGAAGUGCGAAUGCUGACAUAAGUAACGAUAAAGCGGGUGAAAAGCCCGCUCGCCGGAAGACCAAGGGUUCCUGUCCAACGUUAAUCGGGGCAGGGUGAGUCGACCCCUAAGGCG
Molecule: ribosomal RNA, 978 nt
Filed under: Escherichia coli
Lineage: Bacteria; Pseudomonadati; Pseudomonadota; Gammaproteobacteria; Enterobacterales; Enterobacteriaceae
Description: partial 23S ribosomal RNA
Rfam family: Bacterial large subunit ribosomal RNA
Source: RNAcentral